This is a non-coding RNA of Microcebus murinus (gray mouse lemur), 620 nucleotides long. Lineage: Eukaryota; Metazoa; Chordata; Mammalia; Primates; Cheirogaleidae. The record is from RefSeq and is a predicted model, not a curated record.
CAGAAGUGGGGCACUGACUGCCCAAAUAGCUUGUUUUCUUCUUGAGGGCUUUGGAGUUAGGCCCACCAUCACAAAUUCUAACUUUUUCUUUGCUCUGUUCAGCUAUUAGCACAAUUACUAAUCCCUAGACCUGAACGAUUUAUGUGAUGGGAUGGGGAAAGGGGGCACAUUAUGCCAUGAAAGACAAAGAUUGAGAAGCUUUCACAGAUUGGAGGAGACUACGAAAAAAUAACAAAUAACUAAAAGCAAACAUCCUCAGAGGCUUCCGAUUACACUAUAUUCUGCAGCUAAGCCAGCAGCUUGGCUUCAAGUACAAACAAACCUGUCCCAUUUUUUAUGGGUCUUGAAGAAAGUGGUAAGGUGUGUUCUCACCUAUUGUUACUAGGUUUUUGGGAAAAGAUCUGUAUAUUGAAAGACUGGAACACCAAGUUGGGUAUGCAUAGAAUUCCACAUGGUAGGUCUUUGAAUUCACUACCCAGCAUUUGCAAUAUUGUAAAGGGCAAGCUUAUCUACUCCCUUUCUCCAUUUCAAUAAGAUAGUCAGCAAGAGAAAUGAGACAUGCCCUGAAAUUGAGAAAAUAAAGAAAGAAAAAGCUUUUUUCACUAAAAUCAAUGGAUCAC